RNAcentral lists this RNase P RNA (334 nucleotides) under chicken gut metagenome. RNAcentral describes it as "Bacterial RNase P class A". It matches the Rfam family "Bacterial RNase P class A". From Rfam's summary of the family: Ribonuclease P (RNase P) is a ubiquitous endoribonuclease, found in archaea, bacteria and eukarya as well as chloroplasts and mitochondria. Its best characterised activity is the generation of mature 5'-ends of tRNAs by cleaving the 5'-leader elements of precursor-tRNAs. The record is from RNAcentral.
CAGACAAAUGGUCGCGUGUUAUCGACUACCGAUGACACGAGGAAAGUCCGAGCAUCAAAAGAACAGGGUGCUAGUUAACGGCUAGUGAAGGCGACUUUAAGGAUAGUGCAACAGAAAUAGACUGCCAAGUUUUCUUGGCGAUGGUGGAAAGGUAGGGUAAGAGCCUACCGAAAGUUUGGUGACAAACUUUGCUCUGUAAACCCCACCCGAUGCAAGGUUAAGUUUAGGCGACGGCGUUCUUUCCUGCCUAACAAAAAUACCGCUUGAUUUUGCUGGUGACAGCAAAACUAGAUAGAUGACCAUUUGAAACAGAACUCGGCUUACAGUCUGGCUG